This 492-nucleotide ribosomal RNA is filed under the name uncultured bacterium. RNAcentral's name for it is "partial 16S ribosomal RNA". It matches the Rfam family "Bacterial small subunit ribosomal RNA", at positions 29 to 507 of the family's 1533-position model. The record is from RNAcentral.
AGUGAACGCUGGCGGUAGGCCUAACACAUGCAAGUCGAACGGCAGCACAGUAAGAGCUUGCUCUUACGGGUGGCGAGUGGCGGACGGGUGAGGAAUACAUCGGAAUCUACUUUUUCGUGGGGGAUAACGUAGGGAAACUUACGCUAAUACCGCAUACGACCUACGGGUGAAAGCAGGGGAUCUUCGGACCUUGCGCGAUUGAAUGAGCCGAUGUCGGAUUAGCUAGUUGGCGGGGUAAGGGCCCACCAAGGCGACGAUCCGUAGCUGGUCUGAGAGGAUGAUCAGCCACACUGGAACUGUGACACGGUCCAGACUCCUACGGGAGGCAGCAGUGGGGAAUAUUGGACAAUGGGCGCAAGCCUGAUCCAGCCAUACCGCGUGGGUGAAGAAGGCCUUCGGGUUGUAAAGCCCUUUUGUUGGGAAAGAAAAGCAGCAGGUUAAUACCCCGCUGUUCUGACGGUACCCAAAGAAUAAGCACCGGCUAACUUCGUG